AGCAGCCGCGGUAAUUCCAGCUCCAAUAGCGUAUAUUAAAGUUGCUGCAGUUAAAAAGCUCGUAGUUGAAUUUCGGGACCAAUAUGUCGGUCGUGCCUCGGUACGUACUGGCAUCGUUGGUUUCUCCUUUCUGAAGAACCAUGAUGUCAUUUAUUUGGUGUCGUGGGGAAUCAGGACUGUUACUUUGAAAAAAUUAGAGUGUUUAAAGCAGGCUCACGCUUGAAUACAUUAGCAUGGAAUAAUGAAAUAGGACGUUUGAUUCUAUUUUGUUGGUUUCUAGGAUCGACGUAAUGAUUAAUAGGGAUAGUUGGGGGCAUUAGUAUUCAAUUGUCAGAGGUGAAAUUCUUGGAUUUAUUGAAGACUAACUACUGCGAAAGCAUUUGCCAAGGAUGUUUUCAUUAAUCAAGAACGAAAGUUAGGGGAUCGAAGACGAUCAGAUACCGUCGUAGUCUUAACCAUAAACUAUGCCGACUAGGGAUCGGAUGAUGUUAAUUUUUUUCAAUGACUCAUUCGGCGCCUU
RNAcentral lists this unclassified non-coding RNA (520 nucleotides) under uncultured Glomus. RNAcentral describes it as "SSU rRNA". It matches the Rfam family "Eukaryotic small subunit ribosomal RNA", at positions 569 to 1089 of the family's 1831-position model. Lineage: Eukaryota; Fungi; Glomeromycota; Glomeromycetes; Glomerales; Glomeraceae. The record is from RNAcentral.